RNAcentral lists this unclassified non-coding RNA (3526 nucleotides) under Hevea brasiliensis (rubber tree). The record is from RNAcentral. Lineage: Eukaryota; Viridiplantae; Streptophyta; Magnoliopsida; Malpighiales; Euphorbiaceae.
UCUUCUUCUUCUUCUUCUUCUUGACCUUCUUUAUUCUCUGCAAUUUUUGUGUAAUUGAGUUUUAGAUUUCCAAUUCUUGCUUGUUCAUACUUCAACUUGCCGCUGUUUCCUUUCCCGCCUCUUUUUCAAGGUGUUUCUGCAAUUUGAAAGCGUGGAGAUUUCCAAAAGAUUCGAUUUUUGCCUCUUCUGUGCAUCAGUUCUUGGGUUCUCUCAGGUACCCAUCAUUAAAUUUUUGCUUUUUAUGCCUUUUUUUUUUGCACUUAUUAUUUAUGAAUUACAAAAACAUUGUGUUUUAUUAAGCCUAUGUAUUUUGCAGUAAAAUUUUUAUUUUUGUAUAAAAGGAAAGCACUGCGAAAGCAAUCUCAAACAGUAAUGGUUGCUGAUACAUGUGGUUCUCCUAGCUACCCGAAUAAAGUGGUGUUCCUUGAAUUAGUGAAGAGCCUUUACACGUAUUAGAAAAUAAUUGUCUUUGAGAUAAUUUUUUAGUUUUUAGAUGCAGUUAGCCAGUCAUGCUUGGCCUAUAAUCAGCUUGUUUAACAAUUAACCUCGUUUCAAAAAAAAAAAAAGGGUUUAACCUAUUCGAACAUGGCAUAUUUUGGUCCAUAAAUGAACUUAUAUUUUAGUGGAAUCAAAAUGAUUUGUGAAUUAUUUCUUCAAGAAAAGAAAAUAUUUUCAAGGCUGAUUGUGGCUGGGAUGAGAGUGCCGACUAGCAUGAUGUGACAGGUAUCCAGUGGAUGAAUAGCAUUAAAAUUGCACUUUAUUGUUGAAGUGCAAUGACAAAUAUGGCCCUUUUUCCUGCGCUUUUCCCUCGAAUUGUUUCAUUGGAAAUUCCUUUUGUAACAUACCAAGUCCAUUUGGAUAAAUAUUUUGUCAUGUAACAUGGAAAACAAAGGUAUUAUCUCUUCAAAUUGAUCUCCUAGCAAACCUUUCUGUUUCACAUGAAUUCUUUUUCCCAUGAAUAUUCUCCUUCCCUCUAUGAAUAUUCGUUCUUGGUUUUAUUAGUAAUUGUGUAGUGAUUGGCUAGGUGGAUCACUUGGAGAAGAAUUCUGUUUGAAAGGGCAGAAAGAGAGAAAAUUACUUACAAGACAAGUAUGUUCUAUGGGCUAUAAUCUUAAGACAUCUUGGAGAUUAGCUGAAUUGGACAACCAAAACAUUCCUCACAUUGCACAAACUACUGUGUCUAGUUGCUUAGGAGUGCAACAGGCUACAGGGCAUUGCUCAGUAGACUUAAAAUUAGGGAAUUCAAGUGAUUUGGAGGACAAGUUGGAAAAAUUUGCAGGUCCAGAGGACUCUUUAAUGGAGUCAUCAUCGUCUGGAUCAUCGAAAAGAGUUCGGACACCUUCCGGUGCAAACCAAGUCCCUACGUGCUUGGUUGAUGGAUGCACUUCAGAUCUUAGCAAAUGCAGGGACUAUCAUCGACGACAUAAAGUAUGUGAGCUCCACUCCAAGACCCCUAAGGUUUUUAUUAAAGGUCAGGAGCAGCGGUUUUGCCAGCAGUGCAGCAGGUAAGAACCAACAUGCUUUGAAGGUAGAAUUCUUUGAAUUUCAGCUAUUCCUCAGCUGCCCUUUUAGCUUGAUUAACCUUGUUUUUAAUUAUAGGGGCUUAAAUUGAAGAGUGGCGUUCUUUUUUGGGUUGCAAUGUAUUCUUAGGGUCAGUUUAGCAAUGUUGUUGGAGCUGCAGUUUUCCUAAAUAUAUUAGUCAGAGAAUAUUAAAAAUUAAUUUAUAAUUAAAUUUUGACAUAUUUUAGUAAAAGAAAACCAAAUAAUAAAAAAUUAUUUUUUAACAGCAUCUAAAUGGUGCUUUUUCUGAAAAGUUGUUGUUGUUGUUUUUUUUUUAUUAUUAUCUCUUCAGAAAAGCCCUUUUUUUGGCCCCUAAAACUAAAAGCUCAAUGCCAAAUGAGCCCUUACGGCCUCCAGAUUCUUGACGUUCUCCAUUAGAUUCACAGAUGUGGAAAAACUUAUAUAAGCUUUAAAUUUUAGAUGCAGUAAUCUUAGUUCAGGCAUUCUUAGCGUUACAUAUGAAAGUGUUCUGACCUCUGCAGCAUCUCUUGCAUUAUGUGGUAGUUACGUUCACAAAAAAGGUUGUUUUUUUUUUUUAAUUUUAUUUUUAAUUUUUUUUUAAUCAAAGGAUUCACAAUAAAGUUAGUUACCACCCAAUGGACUUUCAGUAUGCUAUAUGCUUGGUUACCAUGAAAAAAGAUAGCAACUCAUUGGCUUUGAUGUGAUUGUGAAAAGUGAUGCAGCAAAUAAUGCUUUGCCAUUAAGGAGAAGACCAUAAGAUCACAGUCAUGGUCUUCAAAGAGGGACAUUUCCUUAAAUAGUUCCAGUUUGACUACUGUUCUUUAAUGCAUGUGCUUUGUUGGCAUUUAUCUUGAGUUGCCAGGGAAAGUAAAUAUGAAUGUAAAUAAUAUGAUAAUACUAGUUGGUCUAAAGGUCAAAAACAAAAUUAUGUUGUAAUUCAGAUGAUUGAUUGGAUGCUGCUUAGUUAAAAUGGACAGAAACAAGGAAUGAGAGAAGGAUCUUAUCACUACUCAUCCCCAAGAGAUAAUAUUUUGUUUGCCAAAUUUCUUCAGCACUCGUAAAAUUUUUGUUGCUCUGAAUGCCUCUAUGAUAGGUUCCAUUCUUUGGUGGAGUUUGACGAGGGAAAGCGAAGCUGCAGGAAACGUCUUGAUGGACAUAACCGGCGUCGAAGGAAGCCUCAACCUGAUUCUCUGUCUGUAAAUUCUGCAAGGUUGUUGUCCAAUCGCCAAGGUUCGAUUUUCAUCUUCAAGUAAUUUCUGUUGCGCACUUAUCUCUUGUUCCCUGUUCAGUGAACUUUUUUCUCUUUAACCAUCAAAUUGGAAUACACAAAACUACAUUGCAGGUACUAGAUAUCUGCGGUUUGGUGGCUCCCAAAUGUUUUCUACCAGUCCUGAGAGCACUGCAUGGAAUGGUGCAGUCAAACCCGAGAAUGAUCCAAUGCUUUACACAAGCCAAUCCUCACUUGACUUCAGCAGCGGAAAAAACCUUUUUCCUGGCUCCCUAUCUCAUGGCUAUAGAAGUGGAAAGCAGUUCCCAUUCUUACAAUGCACUAGUUCUGCACUCCUUGGAGAAUCUGUCUGUCAAAGUAUUUUCAAUGCUGAUUCCACCUUAGGCAGUACCUGCAGCAGCCAAAAAAUGUUCUCUGAUGGGCCAAAUCGAUUCCUUGACUCGAACCGUGCUCUCUCUCUUCUGUCAUCUCAGUCCCAUAAUUAUUCAAGCCAUUCAUCCGGAAUUUCUAUGGCCUGUCCAUUGGUUGUUCCAGGAAGCAGUACCCAUUAUAGUGUGACUCAAGUCUCUGAAAAGCUUACAGGAGUUAGUUCUCAGGCUUCCACAAGCGGGGUACCAAACAAUUUCUCUUCAUCAGGAACGAGUUCUGCAGAAGUAAGCCACUUAGGCUCCAUACCGAUAUCUGAUGGUAGUGAUGCCAUUAAUUUUGAUAUCACUGAUGGGAUUUACCAGGGGUCAAAUUUUAUGAAUGCCAAGGAUCAUCUUUCCUGUGAAGAUG